This is an RNA transcript of Aedes albopictus (Asian tiger mosquito), 6015 nucleotides long. RefSeq lists it as uncharacterized. The record is from RefSeq and is a predicted model, not a curated record. The transcript is spliced from 9 exons. Lineage: Eukaryota; Metazoa; Arthropoda; Insecta; Diptera; Culicidae.
UUACAUUUAAAUUUUCAUCUUAUUUUGUAGUACUAGUUUUGACAGUUUUCCGCCAUGGCAUUCAUAUAACAUUAAAGUUCUCUUUCGCUAUAGUACCUAUCAGCAAUGCGCAAUUUGUGAUGAGUACCAAGGGAUCACCACAGCUCUGCAUCGACGGAUUUCCAUUCACACGACACAUCGUGAAGGAGGACACGAUCUACUGGAGAUGUAUACAAUUCCGUGCAUUGCGAUGUCCCGCAAGGCACCGUCAGCGACGUUCGACCGGAGCGUUGGAAGUUGUUUGGGCAAAGCACAAUCAUGGUAUUCUGGAGCGAAGGAAACGUGGCACACUGCGAGACAUUCUACUACAGCGCAAACGGAUGAACCAGAAAUCCGCUCCAUCUGAAGUGAAACCACAACCGACUACUAGCGCUGAAAAUGACAAGCCAAUCCCGGAAGAAACAUACGCUGCGGAAUAUCUGCUAGCAGAGCUAGAGGAUUUCGUUUUAAAAAAUGACUAAUCGUGAAUAUGUGGCAUUCUAGUACUUCGUUAAGUGUGCGAGAACACUGUUACUGUUAUUGUUCGCGAUAUAUUUAUCAUUUCCCGGCCACCGUUGUUUAUUGACAUUGUUGAUUGUGCCUAAUAAACGCACUUCACUUGUUUUGCACUAGUACUUCGUCAAGUUGCAGAGCAUUUAUCGGUAUCUCUGCCGACGCAAAGCGAGCUAAAAACCAAUAAAUUUUUAUUUACACAUAUUUUGUUUUAUUCUAGUACUCCAUCGUACUCCAGAUGGUAUUGAUGGUUGAAUUGCUGCUUAUUAAUAAUUAUUUAUCCACUGUAGGUCAUGAAGCCGUCAUCCAUUACACCAUGAGCCGAAAAGGAACGCCCCAGCUGGAGAUCGAUGGGUAUCGCUACACGAGACAGAAAAUUUGCAAAACCACAAUUCGAUGGGAGUGUCUCCAGACGAAAGGGUUGGUUUGCAAGGCACGAGCUACCACCAGUAACACCCCAAAGGGACUUGUGCAGUACUACAACAACACACACAACCAUCCACCGCACAUGGAACGACGGAAGGCUGGCGAACUACGCAAACUGAAACAACAAACGGCGGAGAGGCUGAAGCUUUUACAACCCGAUCUUUCGGAGAUCCAUUACAAUGUUUAGUUAGUAAUAUACAAAACCUGAUAAUCUAUUACAUAAAGAUAACGUUGACGACAACACAUAUCUGAUACUCUGUAUAUCAUUUGCAGCGGUGAUCGAAAGACAUUUGGCGAAAUGACAAACUUCCGAACAAAUAAAAGGGCGAAUUCCUAGAAGGAAUAGCCUUUGCUCAAAAACAGAAGGAUCACCUAGAUAUGUAUUUAGUCAUUUGUCAUUUCGCCAUCCGUCGUCGCCCUUUGCAAUGAAGACUGAAACACUAUGAAUUGAAAUAUUCUAGUACUUUAACAUGUUUUUAUCGUUCAUAUUUUAAUCAAUUUCGACGUUUUACAGAUAGCACCUACUCGAACAUUCAGUAUGUAAUGAGUUCGAGAGGAGCGCCCCAGCUGGAUAUCGAAGGGUUUCGCUUCACAAGGAAACAUAAAGGCAAACAAGCUAUCCAGUGGAUUUGCGUGCAAAACAAAGCCAUCCAGUGUAAAGCACGAGCUACUACUACGUCACGAGGGAUGAUGCGUCAGCUGAUCAACAUCCACAAUCAUCCUCCUCAAAUGCAGCGACGGAAGGCGGGCGAACUGCGUGAGCUGAAGCGCCAAAUGGAAGAACGGACGAUGUUGUGGCACGAUUCCGCAAUGUGAACAUAAAUCACUAGAAAAGUAUAUGUUGGGGCGGUUUUCUAGUGAAACUGGCAACACUGGUCAAAUACGAAGAUAGUCGAGGAGCAUGCAAUUUAGAGUACAGUUGGAAGUAGAAUGCCUCUAUGAAGAUUUUUUGUUUUUUUUUUUUUUAGAAAAGUAUAAGUCAAAAGUUGAUUAUGUUGUACAUGUAAGGACAAACGUCUUGAAAUCCCGUUUAAUCAGUGCAUCAGAACUUCAAACGCACAAAUCUCAAGAAGCAAGCUGUUCUUGCUCACUUGUAAUAAGCUUAAAAUAAGAAGAUCAGGUGCGCUGGUUUGGUUGACGAAGAGAUUUGUGCCCCCGAAAUCGUGAGUAGGUACCAAAGUCAGCCAUUGUGGCGGCCAUUUUGGGAUCCUAACAAGUCUGUCCUUAAAGAUAUAAAGAUUAUAAUUUGUUCUCGUCAUGCAUACUUAUAGAUAAAUGACUUAUUUUGCUAAAUCAACUUUUUCAUAAAUAUACCUUUAACAUUUCGUUGCAUUGAAGUGGAUUUAGCAGUCCUAAAAAUGAAUCAACUAUGCAAAGUUUAAUUCCGGAGUUAUUUGAACCGCCUCUGAAUCGAAUCAGAAUGCUAAAUAAUUGUGACGUAUAUGACUAAUCGCUAAAUAAUUUCCACGGCUCAGUUCUAGGCUAUUUCGAAAACGGACCACUUCCACCCAUCCACUACCACACGACAAAAAGGGGAUCUCUUCAGCUGGAAAUCGACGGCUAUCGAUUCACAAGAAUGAAAGUUCUGCAGACCACCAUGCACUGGUCUUGUUUGCAAACAAAGGCACUUCGCUGUAAGGCUCGAGCCGUUACCAAUAACGACCUGCAGGGUACUAUUCGAAGAUAUUAGUCGGAUCGAGGCCAACUACGUUUCCAGUAGAAAAGGAACUCCUCAGUUGAUGAUCGAUGGUCAUUGCUACAGCAGGCAAAGGGUUCGCUUACGAACAAUUCGAUGGCGUUGCGUGCAGUUUAAAGCUUUACAUUGCAUGUCACGGGCGACAACCGAUCGUCAAAAAGGCGGUCAGAUCAUUUCAGUCGAUGGAACACAUAACCAUGAAGUGAUCAAAGAGAGGAGGAAGAAUGGCGAACUUCGAGAGCUGCUGGCCAGACGACAUGCUGAACGAACCAGCACCUGCGUCAAUUUAAAAGUUGAAGAUAUAAACAGUUGAAUAAAUCAGUCUCUGUAUGCUAUACCAUUUUCGCUUUUUAUGCAGUACUAGAAUGUGGCGGUAAAAUAAUCUGUGAAGAUAAAUUGAAUGUUCCAAUCUUCUACACAGAUUGCUACACAUACGAAGAGCUGGAUGUGCACGCCAAACUGAGCAAGAGAGGCAAGGUUCAGCUGAUGAUCGACGGCUUUUCGUUUUCACGUGAAAAGAUUCGUCCGCAUACCAUUCGAUGGAUUUGCAAUCAAGCAUGGGUUUUGAACUGCAAAGUUCGAGCCACCAGUGAGAAAAUGAGUGGAAAGCUAAUAUCGGUCCGAGGAGCGCACAAUCAUGGCGUUGUCAGCAGUCGGCGAAAGUGGGGUCAAUGUAAACUCAUCAAAGAACAAUGCGAGAGGGAUUCGGAGCAGUCAGUGGAACCUCCACGUAAAGGAGGAAGACCCAAAAAGCAGCUGGAGCAGUGGCAACUGUAGGCUGUGAAAGUGUAAUUUCUAACAAUAAAUACACUAUUGAUUUAUGCAUUACUUGUUUUUAUUUAGUGUGUUUCAAUGAAGGUUUUGUUGGCAAUUUUCAUAAUUUAUAAAAUUUCUUUCAGGCAACUUUUCGUACGUAAUGAGCCGUCGAGGUACGCUGCAGUUGCAGAUCAAUGGUCACAUAUUCACUAGAUCGCAGGUCCGCGAAAAAAUAAUAAUUUGGGUUUGCAGUCAAAGGAGAGCCCAUCGUUGUAAAGCUCGGGCGACAACAAGCCGAAAAGAGGGAAGCGCUAUGGUUUCGCUGAGAGAAGACCACACUCAUGAUGUCAUUACCGGACGGAACGUUCGUCGUAAAAAGAUUGUGCCGACUCCUGCAGUUAUUCUUUCCGCCACGGAAUCAGAUUUGGAAUAUGAUGAAUACGAUUUGUUAUGAUAAAUAUAUGCAAAGAAGAAUUACUGCAAUUAUUAUACGCUUCUCAAUUGUUAUUCUUACUUUCAAAGACAGUUUUGAUAUUUGACAAAGUAUGUAUUUCAUGUGUUUCAGUUCCGAAGGACGUGGCCUACAUAAUGACCAGUCGUGGAAUACAACUAACGGUCAACGGGUACAUAUUCUCUCGUCAAAAAGUCUCCACGCACUGUGAAAUGUGGCGCUGCAUGCUUUCGUACUCUCAUAGGUGUCCAGCCCGGGCUAGCACGUACAAACCACGAAACGGUCAGGGUGCUCGAAUUUCUCUCCGAAACCAGCACAACCAUCCGAUCGGCGCGACCAGCCGCAAGCAUAAGAAACAAGCAGUAAAUAAAUCACCCAAGUUGUCAAAAGCUCUCGCCGUAAAUAAACCAAAGGCUUCCACGGAGCAGUAGCAGUAUAGUUAACAUUAAUAUUCGCAUCGCCAAUAAAGGUUUCUUAAAAGUUUAGUGUGAUUCUUUUCGUGUAGUACUAGAUUUACCUUGGUGGUUAUAUUUUGAUGUUGGUUAAUUACUUUUUAUUUCUAGAAAUCAGUGACAUAUCUUUCGUGAUGACCAGAAGGGGCCGAAUGCAGCUUUCAGUCAGUGGGUAUCUUUACACUCGAGAUAAAACACGAGGUGAUUCACAGUUUUGGGCGUGCAACCAAUCAAAAGUGCUGAACUGUACUGCACGGGCCACUACACACAAGGUGCAAAAGAACGGCUCACCGAGGAUAACUCUACGAGGACAGCACAAUCAUGAAGUGAUCACAGAACGACGAAAAUCCGGAGCGCGUGCCCGCUUGAUCGAGAAAUGCCGGAAGGAUCGUGGUCUUGUGCCUUAAUAUCGGUUAAAAAAUGUAAAUUUUUACGAAUUUGCGGUAUUGAAUGACUUUUAAAGAUGGAUUAACUUUUAUCUUAACCUAGUACUACCUUCACAAAAAUGAUAUAUUUUAAAAUAUUGCAGCUAUCAUUUUUGUUCUAAUAGGAAGCAAUCAGUGAAGUACUAGAUUGAAAGUAGUGAGCUGGAUUGUUGUAUGGUGAGAUGAUCAGUUCUCCAUUUCUGUAAUAAAAUGGUACAAACAGCAUGGGUUAUAUGAACUUUGAUAACCGUGUUGUUGUAUUAUUUAUUUCUUGCAACUUCAACAACACAGUUACCCAAACUUUUGCUCAAACAACAUUAAAUUAGGCAAGAAUUCAUAUAACCCAUGCUGUUUGCACCAUUUCAUUGCAGAAAUGGAGAACUGAUCAUCUCACCACACAAAAAUCCAGCUCACUACUUUAAAUCUAGUACUUCACUGAUUGCUUCCUAUUAAACCAGAGAACACCCAGCUAUCGGAAAAGGAAUUCUUAUACAUGCAAAUUAAGGCUCUAGGAGCAACGUUUUAAAGUGAAUACCAGUUCAAUCACAGGACAAUCAACGAACGACGCAAAACCGGUCAACGAGCCAAGCUUGUGGAGCAAUGUUUUCAUGAAAGAUGCUUGAAGCGAUAGCGGUGAUAUCCAUUCUAAUACUUAAUCGUUUCAAUGAUAUUAAUAAAAUGCUGUUACAUUUCGAAUGCUUAAUUUAUUUGCUCUAGUACUACAGUUACAAUGCGUUGCAAUUCUCAUUACUAAAAUGAUUUCUCAUUAAUUCAGAUAUCUCAUUCGUCAUGAGCAAACGAGGUAAAACUCAACUUUGCGUCGAUGGAUUUCUCUACAUGCGCGUGAAGGCUAACGACGAACUGCAGUACUGGUCGUGCAAUCAGUUCAGGGUGCUUGGCUGCACGGCUCGUGCCACAACUGGAAGGGGGAAAAGAGACGGCAAACCGAUUAUCAAGUUGCGCGGCUUUCACAACCACCGGAUAAUUAUGCAGCGUCGAAAACCUGGCGAAUGUGCUAAAUUGAAAGAGCAAUACGCCCGUGAACGAGACGGGUUACCAGAUAGGGCUAAACAUGGUGUACCAGAACAAACGAAGCCGUUAUCAAUACCAGCGGUAUCACAACCGUCGCUUUUACCGAUGGCACAGUGCUUUUUGAAGCAAGAAAAAUGAAUGUGAAUUGAUGAAGCAUCUUUUUCGUUAUUCUAUUACUUCGUCGCUUAUAUAUCGAGCUGAUAUAAUGCGAAGUACCGUGUUAUUUCGUGAGGUCUGUAGUAUGCA